Molecule: ribosomal RNA, 494 nt
Filed under: uncultured bacterium
Lineage: Bacteria
Description: partial 16S ribosomal RNA
Rfam family: Bacterial small subunit ribosomal RNA
Source: RNAcentral
GACGAACGCUGGCGGCGUGCUUAACACAUGCAAGUCGAACGGAAAGGCCUGCUUUCCCUUGUGGAUUGCGGGUACUCGAGUGGCGAACGGGUGAGUAACACGUGAGUGAUCUGCCCCCAACUUGGGUAUAAGCCUGGGAAACUGGGUCUAAUUCCCGAUAGGACUGCAGGGUGGUGCCUGUGGUGGAAAACGAUUUUCUAGUGGUUGGGGAUGAGCUCGCGGCCUAUCAGCUUGUUGGUGGGGUAAUGGCCUACCAAGGCGGCGACGGGUAGCCGGCCUGGGAGGGUGGACGGCAACAUUGGGACUGAGAUACGGCCCAGACUCCUACGGGAGGCAGCAGUGGGGAAUAUUGCACAAUGGGCGGAAGCCUGAUGCAGCGACGCCGCGUGGGGGAUGACGGCCUUCGGGUUGUAAACUCCUUUCGACCGCGAGGAAGCCACCUGGUUGGAAGGGUGGUGACGGUAGUGGUAGAAGAAGCACCGGCUAACUACGUG